This 253-nucleotide ribosomal RNA is filed under the name uncultured bacterium. RNAcentral describes it as "partial 16S ribosomal RNA". It matches the Rfam family "Bacterial small subunit ribosomal RNA", at positions 524 to 776 of the family's 1533-position model. The record is from RNAcentral.
GACGAACCGUGCGAACGUUGUUCGGAAUCACUGGGCUUAAAGGGCGCGUAGGCUGGCCGCAAAGUCAGGGGUGAAAUCCUCCAGCUUAACUGGAGAACUGCCUCUGAUACUGGCGGUCUCGAGGAAGGUAGGGGCGUGUGGAACUCUAGGUGGAGCGGUGAAAUGCGUUGAUACCUAGAGGAACUCCGGUGGCGAAGGCGACACGCUGGACCUUUUCUGACGCUGAGGCGCGAAAGCCAGGGGAGCAAACGGG